RNAcentral lists this ribosomal RNA (424 nucleotides) under uncultured bacterium. RNAcentral's name for it is "bacterial SSU rRNA". It matches the Rfam family "Bacterial small subunit ribosomal RNA", at positions 355 to 773 of the family's 1533-position model. The record is from RNAcentral.
UGGGGAAUUUUGCGCAAUGGGGGAAACCCUGACGCAGCAACGCCGCGUGGAGGAUGAAAUCCUUCGGGGUGUAAACUUCGCAAGAACGGGAAGAAUAAGUGAGAGCUAACAUCUCUUACGAUGACGGUACUGUUUGUAAGCUCCGGCUAACUCCGUGCCAGCAGCCGCGGUAAUACGGGGGGAGCAAGCGUUGUUCGGAUUUACUGGGCGUAAAGGGCGCGUAGGCGGCCACCGCAAGUCACUUGUGAAAUCUCCGGGCUUAACCCGGAAAGGUCAACUGAUACUGCGGGGCUAGAGUGCAGAAGGGGCAACUGGAAUUCUCGGUGUAGCGGUGAAAUGCGUAGAUAUCGAGAGGAACACCUGCGGCGAAGGCGGGUUGCUGGGCUGACACUGACGCUGAUGUGCGAAAGCUAGGGGAGCGAAC